GACGAACGCUGGCGGCGUGCUUAACACAUGCAAGUCGAACGGAAAGGCCCUGCUUUUGUGGGGUGCUCGAUUGGCGAACGGGUGAGUAACACGUGAGUAACCUGCCCUUGACUUUGGGAUAACUUCAGGAAACUGGGGCUAAUACCGGAUAGGAGCUCCUGCUGCAUGGUGGGGGUUGGAAAGUGUCGGCUGUUGGGGAUGGACUCGCGGCUUAUCAGCUUGUUGGUGGGGUAGUGGCUGACCAAGGCUAUGACGGGUAGCCGGCCUGGGAGGGUGACCGGCCACCUUGGGCCUGCGAUACGGCCCAGUCUCCUACGGGCGGCAGUAGUCGGAAGCAUUGCACAAUGGGCGCACGUCUGAUGCAGCAACGCCGCGUGCGGGAUGCCGGGCUUCGGGUUGUAAACAGAUUUCGCCUGUGACGAAGCGUGAGUGACGGUAAUGGGUCAAGAAGCCCCGGCUAACUACGUG
This 468-nucleotide ribosomal RNA is filed under the name uncultured bacterium. RNAcentral's name for it is "partial 16S ribosomal RNA". It matches the Rfam family "Bacterial small subunit ribosomal RNA", at positions 28 to 507 of the family's 1533-position model. The record is from RNAcentral.